UAAGCGGAGGAAAAGAAACUAACAAGGAUUCCCCUAGUAACGGCGAGUGAAGCGGGAAGAGCUCAAAUUUGAAAUCUGGCACUUUCAGUGUCCGAGUUGUAAUCUCGAGAAGUGUUUUCCGCGCUGGACCGCAUAUAAGUCUGUUGGAAUACAGCGUCAUAGUGGUGAGAACCCCGUAAAUGAUGCGGACGCCCAGUGCUUUGUGAUACACUUUCGAAGAGUCGAGUUGUUUGGGAAUGCAGCUCAAAUUGGGUGGUAAAUUCCAUCUAAAGCUAAAUAUUGGCGAGAGACCGAUAGCGAACAAGUACCGUGAGGGAAAGAUGAAAAGCACUUUGGAAAGAGAGUUAACAGUACGUGAAAUUGUUGGAAGGGAAACGCUUGAAGUCAGACUUGCUGUUUGGAAUUCAGCCGCAAGGUGUACUUUUCAGAUAUGCAGGCCAGCAUCAGUUUUUGGGGGUGAAAAAGGGUAUUGAGAAGGUAGCAGUUUCGGCUGUGUUAUAGCUCUUUACUGGAUUCAUCCUUGGGGACUGAGGAACGCAGCUCACUUUUUGCACGACCCUCGGGUGUUCUGAGCUUAGGAUGCUGGA
Molecule: ribosomal RNA, 587 nt
Filed under: Slooffia tsugae
Lineage: Eukaryota; Fungi; Basidiomycota; Microbotryomycetes; Chrysozymaceae
Description: eukaryotic LSU rRNA
Rfam family: Eukaryotic large subunit ribosomal RNA
Source: RNAcentral